AACAAGGCGUACCUGCGGACCUGCGGAGGGAUCAUUAACAAUUGACCAUUUCCAUAUGGAUCAAUCAAAAUCCAUAUCCACCUUGUGUGCACUGACUGAACGUAUGCUUUGGCAGCGCAGCGUCUGGACUCGGGUCACGGCCCGGGCUUUCCAGCGGGGACCCGUCUCGUGCGGGUUUCCCGGCCUGCCAGAGUUCUUCAUGGUCUAACCAACGCAUCCAAACUUCUGCCUGAAAUUCGU
Molecule: unclassified non-coding RNA, 240 nt
Filed under: soil metagenome
Description: partial contains 5.8S ribosomal RNA, internal transcribed spacer 2, and large subunit ribosomal RNA
Source: RNAcentral